RNAcentral lists this unclassified non-coding RNA (284 nucleotides) under plant metagenome. RNAcentral describes it as "partial contains small subunit ribosomal RNA, internal transcribed spacer 1, and 5.8S ribosomal RNA". The stretch from base 1 to 53 matches the Rfam family "Eukaryotic small subunit ribosomal RNA", at positions 1779 to 1831 of the family's 1831-position model. The record is from RNAcentral.
GGAGUAAAAGUCGUAACAAGGUUUCCGUAGGUGAACCUGCGGAAGGAUCAUUAAUGCAUAACCGAGGUGCGAGGGCUGUCGCUGACCCGAAAGGUCGUGCACGCCCGAGUGCCCUCACACACAUCCAUCUCACCCCUAUGUGCACCACCGCGUGGGUCCCCCUUUGGCUUGUUCGGAGGGGGGCUUACGUUUUCACACAAACUUUGUAUGCAGUGUAGAAUGUAUUUUUUGUUUUUGCGAUCACGCAAUCAAUACAACUUUCAACAACGGAUCUCUUGGCUCUC